UGACAUUUAACUGUAAAGCAUCUCGAAAGAAUAUGUAAAGAUUAUGUUCCAGAGCUUUUCUUAUCUCAUCCACUUCACUUUCAGCUGCACUAAGCCUUAACAAAUUCUAAAUCUGCAGCAGAAGAUGGUGAAGUGCGUUGUGAGAAGUUGAGCAAUUUGGUCAUACAGUGUAUUGCUGAGGCCGGUGGAAGGAUUGAUUAUGCUGAGAUUGUUGAUCAAAAUAAUUUG
This is a long non-coding RNA of Vigna radiata var. radiata (mung bean), 228 nucleotides long. RefSeq lists it as uncharacterized. The record is from RefSeq and is a predicted model, not a curated record. NCBI's taxonomy places the organism in Eukaryota, Viridiplantae, Streptophyta, Magnoliopsida, Fabales, Fabaceae. The transcript has 3 exons.